UCCUGGAGAUUCGCGGGAUGUCAAACCCAGGUAAGGUUCUUCGCGUUGCAUCGAAUUAAACCAGAUACUCCACCGCUUGUGCGGGCCCCCGUCUAUUCCUUUGAGUUUCAKCCUUGCSACCGUACUCCCCAGGCGGGAUGCUUAACGCGUUAACUGCGGCACCGAGAGUAAACUCCCGACACCUAGCAUCCAUCGUUUACAGCGUGGACUACCAGGGUAUCUAAUCCUGUUUGAUCCCCACGCUUUCGCACCUCAGCGUCAGUUGCCGGCCAGGUGGCCGCCUUCGCCACUGGUGUUCCUCCAGAAAUCUACSGAUUUCACCUCUACACCUGGAAUUCCACUUCCCUCUCCCCUACUCAAGCCUGACAGUUUCAAAUGCACUUCCCGGGUUGAGCC
Molecule: ribosomal RNA, 396 nt
Filed under: uncultured Desulfovibrio sp.
Lineage: Bacteria; Pseudomonadati; Thermodesulfobacteriota; Desulfovibrionia; Desulfovibrionales; Desulfovibrionaceae
Description: partial 16S ribosomal RNA
Source: RNAcentral